AAAUUGAAGAGUUUGAUCAUGGCUCAGAUUGAACGCUGGCGGCAGGCCUAACACAUGCAAGUCGAGCGGUAGCACAGAGAGCUUGCUCUCGGGUGACGAGCGGCGGACGGGUGAGUAAUGUCUGGGAAACUGCCUGAUGGAGGGGGAUAACUACUGGAAACGGUAGCUAAUACCGCAUAAUGUCGCAAGACCAAAGUGGGGGACCUUCGGGCCUCAUGCCAUCAGAUGUGCCCAGAUGGGAUUAGCUAGUAGGUGGGGUAACGGCUCACCUAGGCGACGAUCCCUAGCUGGUCUGAGAGGAUGACCAGCCACACUGGAACUGAGACACGGUCCAGACUCCUACGGGAGGCAGCAGUGGGGAAUAUUGCACAAUGGGCGCAAGCCUGAUGCAGCCAUGCCGCGUGUGUGAAGAAGGCCUUCGGGUUGUAAAGCACUUUCAGCGGGGAGGAAGGCGGUGAGGUUAAUAACCUCACCGAUUGACGUUACCCGCAGAAGAAGCACCGGCUAACUCCGUGCCAGCAGCCGCGGUAAUACGGAGGGUGCAAGCGUUAAUCGGAAUUACUGGGCGUAAAGCGCACGCAGGCGGUCUGUCAAGUCGGAUGUGAAAUCCCCGGGCUCAACCUGGGAACUGCAUUCGAAACUGGCAGGCUAGAGUCUUGUAGAGGGGGGUAGAAUUCCAGGUGUAGCGGUGAAAUGCGUAGAGAUCUGGAGGAAUACCGGUGGCGAAGGCGGCCCCCUGGACAAAGACUGACGCUCAGGUGCGAAAGCGUGGGGAGCAAACAGGAUUAGAUACCCUGGUAGUCCACGCCGUAAACGAUGUCGAUUUGGAGGUUGUGCCCUUGAGGCGUGGCUUCCGGAGCUAACGCGUUAAAUCGACCGCCUGGGGAGUACGGCCGCAAGGUUAAAACUCAAAUGAAUUGACGGGGGCCCGCACAAGCGGUGGAGCAUGUGGUUUAAUUCGAUGCAACGCGAAGAACCUUACCUGGUCUUGACAUCCACAGAACUUAGCAGAGAUGCUUUGGUGCCUUCGGGAACUGUGAGACAGGUGCUGCAUGGCUGUCGUCAGCUCGUGUUGUGAAAUGUUGGGUUAAGUCCCGCAACGAGCGCAACCCUUAUCCUUUGUUGCCAGCGGUUCGGCCGGGAACUCAAAGGAGACUGCCAGUGAUAAACUGGAGGAAGGUGGGGAUGACGUCAAGUCAUCAUGGCCCUUACGACCAGGGCUACACACGUGCUACAAUGGCAUAUACAAAGAGAAGCGACCUCGCGAGAGCAAGCGGACCUCAUAAAGUAUGUCGUAGUCCGGAUUGGAGUCUGCAACUCGACUCCAUGAAGUCGGAAUCGCUAGUAAUCGUAGAUCAGAAUGCUACGGUGAAUACGUUCCCGGGCCUUGUACACACCGCCCGUCACACCAUGGGAGUGGGUUGCAAAAGAAGUAGGUAGCUUAACCUUCGGGAGGGCGCUUACCACUUUGUGAUUCAUGACUGGGGUGAAGUCGUAACAAGGUAACCGUAGGGGAACCUGCGGUUGGAUCACCUCCUUA
RNAcentral lists this ribosomal RNA (1540 nucleotides) under Klebsiella pneumoniae. RNAcentral describes it as "bacterial SSU rRNA". It matches the Rfam family "Bacterial small subunit ribosomal RNA". Lineage: Bacteria; Pseudomonadati; Pseudomonadota; Gammaproteobacteria; Enterobacterales; Enterobacteriaceae. The record is from RNAcentral.